UUGAAUUGAAGGAAGUUUACCUUUACUUAUUGUUUUAUGCAACUCAACAUUUUAUUUAAAAGAUGCUUAUGCGACGACUUAUGCUUAGGUAGAAAUUAUACAUUGGAAACAAUUCAAAACUUUUACAUUAGGUAAAAAAAUAGAAAUGAGAGUUGCAGGUAAGUUCAACAAAUAUAAUUAAAAAAAAUGACGAACAAAGGUUUAAUAUAGAAGGAAUCAUAAAUACAUGUUUUGAUAACAGACCAUUUGAAGGAUUUUUUAUUCAGGAUAACAUAAAUAAAUUAUGGAUGUCACAUGGAAGAACAACGGUGCCGCAGCAAAA
This is a long non-coding RNA of Culex quinquefasciatus (southern house mosquito), 322 nucleotides long. RefSeq lists it as uncharacterized. The transcript is spliced from 2 exons. Lineage: Eukaryota; Metazoa; Arthropoda; Insecta; Diptera; Culicidae. The record is from RefSeq and is a predicted model, not a curated record.